AGUGAACGCUGGCGGUAGGCCUAACACAUGCAAGUCGAACGGCAGCACAGUAAGAGCUUGCUCUUACGGGUGGCGAGUGGCGGACGGGUGAGGAAUACAUCGGAAUCUACUUUUUCGUGGGGGAUAACGUAGGGAAACUUACGCUAAUACCGCAUACGACCUACGGGUGAAAGCAGGGGAUCUUCGGACCUUGCGUGAUUGAAUGAGCCGAUGUCGGAUUAGCUAGUGGGCGGGGUAAAGGCCCACCAAGGCGACGGUCCGUAGCUGGUCUGAGAGGAUGAUCAGCCACACUGGAACUGAGACACGGUCCAGACUCCUACGGGAGGCAGCAGUGGGGAAUAUUGGACAAUGGGCGCAAGCCUGAUCCAGCCAUACCGCGUGGGUGAAGAAGACCUUCGGGUUGUAAAGCCCUUUUGUUGGGAAAGAAAAGCAGCAGGUUAAUACCCCGCUGUUCUGACGGUACCCAAAGAAUAAGCACCGGCUAACUUCGUG
This 492-nucleotide ribosomal RNA is filed under the name uncultured bacterium. Its description in RNAcentral is "partial 16S ribosomal RNA". It matches the Rfam family "Bacterial small subunit ribosomal RNA", at positions 29 to 507 of the family's 1533-position model. The record is from RNAcentral.